RNAcentral lists this transfer RNA (72 nucleotides) under Marseillevirus LCMAC202. Its description in RNAcentral is "tRNA-Arg". It matches the Rfam family "tRNA". From Rfam's summary of the family: Transfer RNA (tRNA) molecules are approximately 80 nucleotides in length. The record is from RNAcentral. Lineage: Varidnaviria; Bamfordvirae; Nucleocytoviricota; Megaviricetes; Pimascovirales; Marseilleviridae.
GCACGCAUAGCUUAAUGGAAGAGCGACGGUCUUCUGAACCGUAGGUUGCAGGUUCAAAUCCUGCAACGUGCU